GGUUAAACAAGAGAGUUCCGUUACCUCUGGGUCCGUCACUAUUCUCCUAGUGUAGCGGAGGAGGGUGUAAACAGAGAAAGACACAGUGGGUCAUACAAGUGGAUGUCAUAAUACUGACGUCCAUGGAUACAAAACAAAAAUUGUUGGCGCCAUUAAGUCAGUUUCUGCGCCAACACUGCAAAGAAUUGUUAGGCCUUUUUUGGAAUUGAUUAAACGUUAUUUGACUUUUGGCAUCUAUAUUUAAUCGUCCCAUAUCUUAUUUCAUUUCAUUGCAUUUCAUUUUCAUUUCAUUUUAGUCGAAUACAAUAAGCAUCUACCUUAUUCUAUUAACAUGCACAUAAUCAGCACAUAAUUAUUUCGUAGGUUUUAUUUUAUUACUGUUAUUUUAUUUAAAAUAUUCAAUUAUACUGUCGUAAUGUUAGCUUUUUUAAUCGUUAUUAUAGGUUUUAUAUUUUAUUGUUGUUUUACUAUAUUAUAUUUAUUAUUACUGUUAUUACGUUAUGAAUCACGUAAAUUUCGUAGACGCCACUAGUCAAAUUUCGAAUAUGAAACUAAUGAAAUUAUAUAUUUGGCAACUGGAGCCUUUCGACGUUUGCACCUUUAUCCUCCUUGACGGGCUGAUUUGAUGAACGCCAUCACGUCUUUGAGCAUCCAAGCAUCAACCAUAGUAAGAACUAACAUGUAUUGAAAUCAAGAGGAGACUUAUAUAAUACAUUUUUGGUUAUGUGAUGUUGCAUCCAUUUCUACUAACACACAGGUGUAGACAUUAGGCUUUAUUUUUUUCAGGGCAACGAAGCUUAUAAUAAUUAUGGUGGAGAUCUUGUUGAUACUAUGCAAUGUUAAUACUUUAUAGGAAACUAGAUUGCAUAUUUGGAAACAAGGUUUAAUGAUUAACGUAUCAUAAUUUGCGAUGAUAGGCCUAAUAUAUGUGAACCAUGGAUUCCAUGGCUAAAUUUCAGUAGGCAUUCAAAUCUCCAUGCUAGUCCACUGUCACUAGAUGCUGAUAAUCUGACAACAUUAGAUCAUAUAUCCAGCAAAAUUUUGACAUCAAUUUAUCAUAUUAAACAGCAUCAACUAGACUAUUUAUGAAUGUAUGUAUUAUGAAAAAAUUGAACUAACACUUAGGCCGAUAUAAAACAGUUGUUAUUUAAUUAUGUUGAUUAUAUGCAAAUGUGACGAGACCACAGGUAAGUUACUAACGCAGCAAGACAUCGGUUCGAGAAUCCAAGCAUCAAACCAAGUAAGUCAACUAAUCACUAUAGGAUUGUUUGUGUAGAAAAAACAAUCGUACUAAUGCCCAUCUUGUAAACCACUUUAUAUAAAAUCGUAGUAUUUUUAUUUAUUUUUUUAUUCGUGCCGAUAGUGGGUUAGGUCAGUAUUUGAUGAUGGUAGCAGGUGCUCCCUCAAUGCGUCUUCAUUUGUAUACCUAUGAAAUUGUUGCAAUAAAUCUUUACAAACAAAUGUGUCUUUGUCUCUUUUUGUCCGUCUAUUUUUUUAAUCACAUCAUGAUGGUAAGCCCCUAUACCAUAUAUUGUAUCCCUAUGAAUUUGUUUCAAUAAAUUCGUACAAUAGAACAUGCGUUUAUGACUCGUUUAUUUAACAUCUUCAGAAGUGUUUUUGUCUGAGUCUGUUAUGAAUUGUAAUUUUGUAAAUGUAAAACAAUAGUAAAUGGAAUUCAUUUACUAUUGUUAAAUUUCAGUGUAUGUAAAUCCAAGAUGUACAAUAACUAAUAGCAUGUCUUUGAUUUCAGGAAUAUUAUUAGUUUUGUUGUCCAGAGACAGUAGCAAGGCGACGAAUACCUUGUGCAUCACAGGUUUUUGUCGCCUAUGCAUGUGUGCGGAAUAAAUAAAUAUAUACUGUACGUUCAAUACUUAUAACUUUGAAGUUCAUUUCAUUUCAGGAAAAAAAAAUCUGGUGAUUUUGAUAAUGAUGAAUGAGGAAAUAUGCUAAUAUACUGAUUGGAUGGUGGUACUUCUGCCGAUGACUAAUUGUCGACGUGGAAUGAGAAAAAAUAUUAAUGAUGAUUGUGAUGAUGACGGUAGCAAUGAAAAUUUAAUAGUGACGAUUAAUACAGAUUUUAGAGUUGCGUGGUUAGUUUAUUUGAGUUUCUGUGAGUUGCGAUUUAAGCUGACUUUGUUAUUACAAUAUACUAUGACAAAUGAUGGUGAUGAAUGACAGUGAUGACGAUUAACGAUAAUGAAAUAGUGUAUUAAAAGUUGCAAAGGUAAGUUGUGAGAUAAUGUUUGAAUGUCUGAAAGUUUCAAAGGCGACUUUGUGGGGUUGUGAAAUGACGUGAUGUGAAACUCGGGCCAUAUCUAUUGUGUUUUCAUUUUGAUAAUGCAUGUGAAUUUCCGAAUAAAUCAAAUCAAUUUGCUAUUUGGAGUAGUGCUUCUUCUGAUGGAGAACUGAUAGAUAUAAGUGCUCAUGGGGACAACGAUAAUGAGGAUUACGAGGAUGAUGUAAUGAUGGCGAUAUAGAUGAUACAGUGAUAACAAGGAUGGUGAAGUGGUAGACCUGUGCUUGAAAAAUAGGUAAGUUUCAAUGCAUUGGGGCUUGUGAAAUAAUGUGAAAUUAACCUAUAGUAAUGCAUGGAUGGUUAGCUUACUUGCUGUGACUGCUAUUUAGUUGAAAUUCUGUCAUGUUUACAUUAGCGGAUCCAGGGUAUUUUGGCCGGUGUGGGAGCAGGAGAGGCGAUUGAAUACAAUUUCCAUCACAACUCAGUAAUCCCUGCAAUAUUAGUUUUAAACUUUUAGCAUCUUGUAUUUUUUAAAUUUAAGCAAUUUCUCUUUGUGCAACAUGUGUUUUUUAAUUAAAUUUUCUAUAUAUUUUUCUAGUAAUAUGGGUGUAUUUAAGGAACCAUAUCUCAUAGCUGUGUUUUAAUGGUUUUAUCGUAUCGUAUUGAAACCUAUUGUCAGAGGAGAAUGCUCCCUUACCAAUUCUGUGGGUCCAGGGCCAUAUUAAUCUAAAUUUCAAUUUAGAAACUUGAUUACGAUCUUUAGAUAUCCAGGGAGUGUUGCAGGCGGGCUGAACAUCCUUUUUCACUAAGUGUGUUUAACAUUAUUGAAUUGAAUUUAUUUGCUAUAGAACAACAUGAUUCAUGUUAACAUGAGUUAUUAAUUAUUUACGUAGUAGUCGAUACCCAAGGCAUUAAAUGCUUCUGGACUGUCCUCCGACCUGACUGGAAUGUAGUGUGAUCGAUUUAAAAACAAGGAAAUAUGUGGACGUCGAUGGUUAAUAAUGAUGGUAUGGUAAUGGACGGCUAUGAUAUUAAUAGCCAACGUUGAUGAUGCUAAGAAAGAAACCUGGUGAUUUUGAUAAUGAUGCUUGUGGAUACGUUUUUCUGCGAAUGGAUAAUUUAUCGACUUGAAUUGAAAACAAAAUUAGCAGUGACGAUGAUGUUAUGGUGAUGAUGAUGAUUGUGAUGAUGAUGGUGUUAGCGAUAUAUACUAUGUCCUUUUCAUAUCUACAUGAAAGGAAUAUUGAACGAAUACGAUGAUAUAAUUCAUGAUGAUAAUGAGAAUGUUGUGCUGAUAAAGAUGAUGUUAAACAAACGACGAUGAUAAUUUUACGGUACUUGAUUACUAGUAUUAGACUCUUGGAAGCUUUACUUUUGCUAUAUAUCCUCCUAUCUUGAAUCCAAAUAUGGACUGCAAAGUUUGGGUGGUUCCUGAGAGCUUUUGUGAGUUAAAAGACUUUGCUAUUAAUUACAACUUAAUAAAAUGGCAGAUGACGGUGAUGAUUAAAAAGACAGCGAUGACGAUUAACCGAUAACGAAAUGAUGUAACUGAACUUGCAAAUGUAUAUAAUUUGUCAGAUGUUUGAAUGCCUGAAAGUUGAGCUUGUUUAAAUUGUGAAAUGACAAUAGGGCUAUUGGGCUAUGCAUAGGCCUAUAAAUUUUACAACAUUAAAUUUUUGUUUUCAUUUCAGAAAAGAAAUAAUAAUAAUAGUAAUGAAUGCGAUUUUCAGACUAAAUUGUUCAUCGCGUUUCUUUUGAUGGUGAAUAUCAAGGACGAUGAUAACAAACUCACUCGCCCCUCUUAACUCAGGUUCUCGGUUACCGACAGAAUUUCAUCUAAACAGUAGUCACAUUAAAUACGUGAACCAUAACGAAUAUGAUCUUAUAUUGAUGGCGAUAUAAUGUUCUUGGUGACGAUGAAAUGGUAGACCAGCUUGCAAAGGUUUACGCAGUACAUAUUUGUAAACACAGUGCAACAGAAGUGGUUGAUAUGCAAGCCCUUGAAUUCUUGUGAACUGUCGCCGACUUCAACAUACUGUAUGAGAUCGAUUUAAAAGGAAUCUACUGGUGGACAUUGGUGGAUUAAAUGUUGAUUCUACUAAAGGAAUUCGGAGCUGUGAAGCUAAUACCAACACUGACCCAGGAAGCAAAUUUUUUCAGCAGAAUGACAUCUGUUCAGAUGGAAUGAGCCAAUCUGGUCGAUUUAAUUUAGAGAUGCCGAGUAUUUUGGAACAUAGAACGUACAAUUAGAUAUUAUGGUGAAGACUAUCUGUCAUUGCAGUUGGUAAUAUUUAAUAUAUGCUAUAUAAUAAAAUUUAAAAAUAAUAAUAAUAAUAAUAUAAAAAUAACAAUAAUAUAAAAAAAUAA
Long non-coding RNA from Anneissia japonica, 4603 nucleotides. RefSeq lists it as uncharacterized. The record is from RefSeq and is a predicted model, not a curated record. NCBI's taxonomy places the organism in Eukaryota, Metazoa, Echinodermata, Crinoidea, Comatulida, Comatulidae. The transcript has 5 exons.